AGUGAACGCUGGCGGUAGGCCUAACACAUGCAAGUCGAACGGCAGCACAGUAAGAGCUUGCUCUUACGGGUGGCGAGUGGCGGACGGGUGAGGAAUACAUCGGAAUCUACUUUUUCGUGGGGGAUAACGUAGGGAAACUUACGCUAAUACCGCAUACGACCUACGGGUGAAAGCAGGGGAUCUUCGGACCUUGCGCGAUUGAAUGAGCCGAUGUCGGAUUGGCUAGUUGGCGGGGUAAUGGCCCACCAAGGCGACGAUCCGUAGCUGGUCUGAGAGGAUGAUCAGCCACACUGGAACUGAGACACGGUCCAGACUCCUACGGGAGGCAGCAGUGGGGAAUAUUGGACAAUGGGCGCAAGCCUGAUCCAGCCAUACCGCGUGGGUGAAGAAGGCCUUCGGGUUGUAAAGCCCUUUUGUUGGGAAAGAAAAGCAGCAGGUUAAUACCCCGCUGUUCUGACGGUACCCAAAGAAUAAGCACCGGCUAACUUCGUG
RNAcentral lists this ribosomal RNA (492 nucleotides) under uncultured bacterium. RNAcentral describes it as "partial 16S ribosomal RNA". It matches the Rfam family "Bacterial small subunit ribosomal RNA", at positions 29 to 507 of the family's 1533-position model. The record is from RNAcentral.